AUAAGGAAAUCGGGAUCCAAAAGUCAGGUGUCCUUGGGUCUCAGAAGACCUUUUACAUACUUCUCAUGUAUGCAGAAGUGUUGAGAUUUGAAUCCAAGCUGCUUUUCCAAGGGUUUGUCACUGAAGAAGGAGCUGAGAGAGGAUGUGCCUGAAGGUGGAAAAGCCAAUACUGUUUUGGAUAAGUUACCUCAAAAAAUGGAAUCAUAGCCCUUUAGACCUGGAAAAGACUCUGGGAAUCCUCUGGUCCAAACUCCUUCACAGAUGAGGUUGGCGAAACUUGACAGCAGGUCUGUGUUCCAUGAAUACAGGAAGAAUUAAGAGUAAGGAAGAAAGAAAUGCAGAAACAUCACCUGAAUACUUGCCUACCCCCUGGAAAAGUUCAAGGCUCUUGCUCAUUUUAUGAAUUUUCCCCAAGCCACUGGUUCUCAUACAUCUUCAGACAUCUGAUCAAGGAAGCAUCAGAGGAAAAUAAAAAGUUGGGUAUCUGCGUAGAAGUCAGUGUCCCGGCUCAGAUGUCGGUGGAGAAUGUGAUUUUUUCUCUGGUGCUGGGCGAUCAGAAUGGGAGCCUUCUGUGUAGGAAGCCGCCUAGCUGAAAGAGCUAUUGCACCCUGGCCUAUUUCCCAUUCCUCGGUAGAGAGGGGCAGACCUGUUUUCCCCAUUCUAGCACUUAUUCUUAGAGCCCCCUAAAUACCCAGGAGAGCCUUGUUUUUAAUCAAAGGUUGAAAUGGAACCUCCCCCAGGGCGCACCGAU
Long non-coding RNA from Bos taurus (domestic cattle), 751 nucleotides. The record is from Ensembl. Lineage: Eukaryota; Metazoa; Chordata; Mammalia; Artiodactyla; Bovidae.